GAUGAACGCUGGCGGCGUGCCUAAUACAUGCAAGUCGAGCGAACGGACGAGAAUCUUGCUUCUCUGAUGUUAGCGGCGGACGGGUGAUUAACACGUGGAUAACCUACAUAUAAGACUGGGAUAACUUCGGGAAACCGUAGCUAAUACCGGAUAAUAGUUUGAACCGGAUGGUUCAAAAGUGAAAGCCGGUCUUGCUGUCACUUAUGGAUGGAACCGCGCUGCAUUGGCUAGUUGGUACGGUAACGGCUUACCAAGGCAACGAUGCAUAGCUGACCUGAGAGGGUGAUCAGCCACACUGGAACUGAGACACGGUCCAGACUCCUACGGGAGGCAGCAGUAGGGAAUAUUCCGCAAUGGGCGAAAGCCUGACGGAGCAACGCCGCGUGAGUGAUGAAGGUCUUCGGAUCGUAAAACUCUGUUAGUAGGGAAGAACAUAUGUGUAAGUAACUGUGCACAUCUUGACGGUACCUAAUCAGAAAGCCACGGCUAACUACGUG
This 497-nucleotide ribosomal RNA is filed under the name uncultured bacterium. RNAcentral describes it as "partial 16S ribosomal RNA". It matches the Rfam family "Bacterial small subunit ribosomal RNA", at positions 28 to 507 of the family's 1533-position model. The record is from RNAcentral.